AAUACUAUAAAAAGGAGAAGUGAUGUACAAGAUGGUAAUUUUACGAUGUGUAUCAAUUUUAAAGCAACAUGUACAAGGUGCUUAAAGCCAUGGAAUUUGGAAUUUCCACUCAAGUUUAAGACGCCAAAGGGGGUAAUGUUGGUAUUUCAACACAUACGCUUCUCUUCCACAUUAUUGCAGGUGAUUGAAUGCUGAAACUAAAGCAUUCGUGCGUUUCCAUCCCACCCAACCAAGCGUCGCUCCCUCAUGUUCAUAUAGAACCCCAGUCAAGCGCAGAUUAGGGUCUUUCUUGCUUGCGAAUUGCCCUCGUUGCUUCAACAAACCCUAAUUUUCAGAUCUCAUGGAUUUCCAUAGCCUUACCAGAACAGAUCUUCAAUCUCUCUGCAAACUGAACAAGAUCCCUGAUAACAUCACCAAUGUCGCCAUGGCUGAUGCUCUCCAAUCUCUCGAUGUGGUAAGUUGUUUUGUUUUUGUUUUAAUUUGAUUUGUUGAUUUUUAAUUCCUCAUUGCAGCUGAUUGUUGAUUACCUCAGCCCUCGUUCUUGGUUUAAUACUUGGAUUCGAUUAUGAAAUGAGGAUAUGUUGUUUGUAAUUGACAAAAUUUAUGAGUUUUAUUUAGUGUUAUGGAUAUUAAUUCCUGGACGUUCUAAGUAAACAACCACCUGCUGUUGUUUCUUCGGUCUCAAAUUGCAACCCUAGGAUGAAAAAUUGCAGAAGAGAACGGUUGGAUGUACUAGCGGUGACAAUAAGGUUUUCCUCAGUCGUCAGCGGCGUUGUGGUUCAAGGUUGUGAAACAGUUGGGGUGGUGGUUAGGGUUCAGCCAUAAAAGGGUCUUACGCGUCUUCCAACGGCUAUGGUUCCGCCAUGAAAUAGUGGCAACGACGAUGUAUUCUUCAUCAGAAUCGGUACGGUUGGGGUAAAUUUUUGGGUUACCGUGUUCUAUUAUUCUUCUCUGGUAACUAUCAGUUGGUGGUUGUGGAGUUUUUCCACCGGAGUUCGUUCAUAUUUGCGAUAUAUCUUAUCGAGAUUGAAUUAAUAUCUAUGAAAUGCUUUGUAUUACUUCAGGUCAGUUUUUCAAUUUGAGUUGAUUGAGAAAUUGUUUACAUCUCCACAUUUCAUAUUCUGGUGAGUAGUAUUGCAGUUUUGUUGCAGUUCAAUUUUCUUGUUUUUCUUUAAAUAUUAUUUUUAAAUGUAGAAGAAUCGCUGCUCAUAGUCAUCCUUGAUGUCAUUGAUCAAAAGUGGGUAUAUACACUCUACUGUAUUUUUGUUCUUAAUAUGUUACUAUAACAUUUAGAGUCCUUGCCUUUCGUAUUCAAUUUGAUGAAUUGUUUCGCAUGUUUUGUGUUUGUAAAUAUAUUAGAAUUAGAGUUUGCUUUGGUUAAUGGCAACUGACAUGGUGAGGGGUCAAAUUAACUUGAAAGGGAGUGGCUCCAUGCUAGGGGCGACAAUUCUUGACACGAGCCAUCAACCCGACAUGAAAAAAACAAGAUUAGGUCGACUAACACAACCCGUUUAAAAAAACGGGUCGGUUCGGGUUGACCGUAUUAAAAGCGGGUCGGGUUCAGGUUGACCCGUAUAAAAAACAGGUUGACCUAUUAACCCGUUUAACUAUUUAGAAAAACAAUCUUUUAUAUUUUUUUUUUUUGUUUUUUUUCCUGUUUUUAUUUUACAUGGUUAGUUAUAAUAAUGUUAAUUUUGAUACAUUAUAUUAUUUAUUAGUCACACUCAUACUCAUCAUUAAACAUGUUAUCGGUAACCUGCUUAAAACCCAAUAACUCGAUAACAAAUCAUCAACUUAUAUGACUCAUUUCAAAAUAUGGGUUAAACGGGUCGGGUUCGGGUUGACCCGAAUUUAUAUGGGUCGGGUUUGGGUAGAACAUUUCAACCAGCCAACCCGCAACCCUUUAACCCGCCAACCCAUCAACCCGACACGAGUGACACCCCUACUCCACGUUGUUUACAUUUAGUUUAUGUAUUAGUUCAUGCAAAUUGAUGGAUUAUGCAAUACUCUGUUGAAUAAUCCCGUCGAUAGUGUAAGAGAUGUGUUAUAGCCUCAUAACUCUAAAGAAAUUGGUAUUAGUUUGCUUGAUUGAAUUGUUGGAUGAUUGAACAUUUGUUUGUUUGAGUUAAUAUGCAUAGUGUAGACCAAUACAAUUACUUCAGCCACUAAUGUUUCAGUUUCAGCCAAAUUUCCUUUUUUUAUAGCUAAACAGUGGGAGCAUGUAGGACCCCUUGCACCGAGUGAACCAAAUGGUAUUUCAGAAUAUUGGCAUCAAAUGCAAAGCUGAUCGUGUUGAUGGCGGUUACUUCUUAAAGGGAACAAGCUGUGGUGCAUCAAUGGUCCCAUUGAUCAAAGCCCUUAAUGUUUCAGUUUCAGUCUAAUUGCCUUUUUUUUUUAUAGCUAAACAGUGGGAGCAUGUGGGACGCCUUGCAACGAGUGAACCAAAUGGUAUUUCAGAGUUGUAGAACUUGAUUUUCUUUACCCAAGUGAAGGAAUACAUCGUAGAUGGGAGAGUGGGUACAGGAUACCAUCUAUGGCUGCCACACCUGAUCAAGCAGCGUUCAUUUUGAGUUUCCCGUGGCGUAAAAUAAUGGACGAGACACAAGAAACCUUGAGAACAUCCGCCUUCCAGAGUACCCAUGUGAAGGAAAAAUGGUCAAAGAACCAUUAUAUUGCAUCCUGUGUUAUGGUUGAACCGUAUGCUGACUGAUGCUGGUAACAGAGGCUACAUUUUACUGAAAACCCCCACUGGAGUUGAAUACAUUUGGGGGUUUUAUAAACUGGGAUUCCGUGUGAACGGAAAAUUUUGGCGUAACGUAAAGAUGGCCGUGCUGUAUUACUAUGUAACAUCAUAAUAGAGUUGAUAAAGACAAGUAAGAAACCAAAAAAAAAAAAAAAGAGUGUAUAUAAACUAUAAAGAGAAAUGUGUGUCAAAUAUGAAUUUAAGUUAGGGUGUA
Long non-coding RNA from Helianthus annuus (common sunflower), 2957 nucleotides. RefSeq lists it as uncharacterized. The transcript has 5 exons. The record is from RefSeq and is a predicted model, not a curated record. NCBI's taxonomy places the organism in Eukaryota, Viridiplantae, Streptophyta, Magnoliopsida, Asterales, Asteraceae.